RNAcentral lists this long non-coding RNA (1227 nucleotides) under Nicotiana benthamiana. Its description in RNAcentral is "long non-coding RNA (NBEN_LNC002821)". Lineage: Eukaryota; Viridiplantae; Streptophyta; Magnoliopsida; Solanales; Solanaceae. The record is from RNAcentral.
AAAAAUAAUAUCUAAGCUAGAGUUAUGGAAAAUCACAAACUAACUUGAAAAGAAUAAAUAAAAGAUGCAAAAACAAAAUGAAGCAUAAGGAAGGAAUAUGCAAGCAGAGAAGAGGUGUAGUAAGAAAAGAAUGUGAAUUUAGGAUAAAUAAUAAGAAUUUCUUGGCUUUUUAGAUUUUUAGUUUGAGAAUUUACUAUGAGUUAACUUUAGUAAAAGUAUGCAUAUAUAUAUUUGUCACUUAAUCAUGGUUAAUUGAUGGAUCAUCUGUGAAGCAGUUAGACGCAAUAGUAAACAUGAACCGGAAAAGAAGAUGUUAGGACCAAACCAAUAUCACCACGAAGAGCGUAGGGUUAAACAGCCAUUCAUGAAUAAUAGCUUUAAAAUGAUAAAGGAAUAUAAUGACGGCUAGAUUUGAACUAUUUUUCGUAUCCCUUGUAUCAGAACAUUUUCUGUAAUAUAAAGAUAUGAUAAAACUAAAGCUCAGAAUUAUAAUAUUAUUGCCAAGUACAAUAAUUAGGUUUCAGUAUGCAGGAAAGGACAAGGGGCACUCACCCAGUAUAAAUGGCAUAGUUUUGAUUCCUCCAAGUUGCUUCUUUUUGCUCAUUAUUGUCUACUCAUUCUCCAUCUCUUCCUCUUUGUAAUUUUCAACUACUUUCUUCUCUACUUCCAUGCUCUUGUAAUCCAUUUUUCCCUUUCUGGCUAAAAUAUAUGUAAGAAAGAAGACGAAUGAAGUUUAGUUUGAGAAAGAAGAAGCAAAGCGCAAUGCUAAGAUGAUUGAGCCAAACAAGAUUGUGGGGACUAUUUAUAGAAAAUAGCUGGCAUGUGAAUGUGUUUGAUUUUAUUCUUUGAUUGCCCAUUAUUAAUUUUUUGUUCUAAUUAUUUUAAAAACUUGGUGGAACGUCAUCUCUUUCUAGAUUUGAGUCCCUUGUUAGAACCGUGUAAUAUUUUCACUGGCUUCUCUUGAAAUUAUAUCGUGUUCUAACCAAAAUGUGAAUCUUGGUAAGUAAUUUGAAUAGUAGCUGUAUGGUAGUACUACACUAUUUUUCUUCAUUUUUAUCUUUGGAAGGGAUCAGGCAAUGUGUCAAAAUGGGUGCUUACUACUGUUUCUCAGACAUUUAAUUAGAAAAACAAAUAUGUCGAAGCAAAUUGUGGGCAUUUUAUAUAAAAAGAGCCCUAGGCAUAAGAGCCCUAGGCAUACUACCUAGUGGAUUUCAAAAGAAAUUGUGC